Molecule: ribosomal RNA, 210 nt
Filed under: uncultured bacterium
Lineage: Bacteria
Description: partial 16S ribosomal RNA
Rfam family: Bacterial small subunit ribosomal RNA
Source: RNAcentral
CGUGUAGGCGGCUUCGUGUGUCCCAUGUGAAAGCCCUCGGCUCAACCGGGGAACUGCAUGGGAAACUGCGGAGCUUGAGUCCGGGAGAGGAGAGCGGAAUUCCCAGUGUAGCGGUGAAAUGCGUAGAUAUUGGGAGGAACACCGGUGGCGAAGGCGGCUCUCUGGACCGGUACUGACGCUGAGACGCGAAAGCCGAGGGGAGACGAAACG